This 455-nucleotide long non-coding RNA is filed under the name Eucalyptus grandis. RNAcentral's name for it is "long non-coding RNA (EGRA_LNC005670)". Lineage: Eukaryota; Viridiplantae; Streptophyta; Magnoliopsida; Myrtales; Myrtaceae. The record is from RNAcentral.
AUGUUCCAUUUAGUUCUUCAACGGUUAUUAUAAUUUCCUUUCACACUAGCCCCUUGCACAAAACAAAACAAGAAAAAUUCAACUCUAGAUUGCGAGUCAUAUGUAGUUUUCCGGCAAGGAACAGUUCAGUAGCCGGCACUAACCACGCGUGUUUUAAAGUAAUUUUCACAAUCUUCAUCUGAAAUCUAUAUACCUCCGCUCUUAAUUAAAAUCAGCAGGGCCCAGAAAGCCUGAUGCACAAUUGAAGUAUAAAACAACUUUCAAUCGAGGAUGGUUGUUUCGGGCCAGUGCAAGACUGAGGAAGUGCCAUCUAACUCUCGGAGAAACAUUUUGAAUAUUCAAAGUGAAAGUCCAAGAAUAAUUCGAGUCGCUGUCGGAUGUUCUUGAAGAGCAGGAAGUGAAGGCUCAAUCUAGGUGUGCAAUGUGAAGGCGUGAAAAACUUGUUUUAUUGUCUG